This 207-nucleotide ribosomal RNA is filed under the name uncultured bacterium. Its description in RNAcentral is "partial 16S ribosomal RNA". It matches the Rfam family "Bacterial small subunit ribosomal RNA", at positions 568 to 774 of the family's 1533-position model. The record is from RNAcentral.
CACGUAGGCGGACUGGAAAGUUGGAGGUGAAAUCCCAGGGCUCAACCUUGGAACUGCCUUCAAAACUAUCAGUCUAGAGUUCGAGAGAGGUGAGUGGAAUUCCGAGUGUAGAGGUGAAAUUCGUAGAUAUUCGGAGGAACACCAGUGGCGAAGGCGGCUCACUGGCUCGAUACUGACGCUGAGGUGCGAAAGUGUGGGGAGCAAACA